Molecule: long non-coding RNA, 1066 nt
Organism: Lolium rigidum
Lineage: Eukaryota; Viridiplantae; Streptophyta; Magnoliopsida; Poales; Poaceae
Exons: 3
Source: RefSeq, a predicted model, not a curated record
CUCGUCAUCUAGUUCUCUUUCAAGUAUCUGCUAUCUUAUUCCUGUGCUGAUGAGAUACUUUUAUUUUCUUCUGCAAAGCAAGUGUUGAUGGAGUAGUACAGCAGCCACAAGCAUUUGAUUCAUCAUGAUUUGUUUAGUGUAGUUGAUCAUGUCCUGAUGCAAUUUUCUUGUAUUUCGUUUGCUGUAGUGUUGUUUUCUUGAUUUAACGUGUUUAAAUAGUUGAUCAGCGUGCUAGUAUUUGUUUUUGGAGUAGUUCCGUGUGUAGCACACAAGCAAGAAUCUGAUUCGUGACAAUUCUUUUAAUUACGAGCUCUAGUAUAUAAAGGCUGUUAACUUGCUAUGGUCUGCUUCAUUUGAGUGUAUUAAUCAUGCAACUUUUGAUGUUAAGAGUGUUGUCCAUAUCUACACCUAAUUAGUUACAUAAACUGGAAUACUCAAUGGUAGCUUCCUAACAUAAUAUCUUACUAUAAAUUCUGUGUUGUUUUCCAUGAUCUGUAUAUGUAGUGAUGUAGUGCUGCCCAUGCAUUCUUUACUAGGAAUUCUCUGGCUGUUUUCUCCGUAACCUAGCCGGCCAUGUAUUUUUAUAAUACUGUUCUUGACCAUACUCCUUUGUUUAUUUCAGCAAGGCCUCGAAGUCUAGUGCUUCCAUGAGGUGCCCAGGUUCCCACGGUUCAGGCAUGAAAGUGACUAUCCGUCAGCUCUGCAUCAAGUGCUAUUAUGUGUGUUGUCUCUUAGGGGGUUACCAGUUGGUGGAGCUGGCUAGGAGGUAGCCAUGGUCGUUAGAUCUGCCCGGUUGGCAGGAGUGGCCUUCGUCUUCUACUUGGUGGGUUUAGGAUAUCCAUGAGGAGGGCUAGAAUCUAGAUGGGAGCAAGGAACCUAGCUGCAGCGUGAUGCAUCAUCUGGAGGUAGGCUGGAAGAGACAAUGGAGGAAGCAGCCGACUUCAGUACACGGCUUGCUAUGUCUGUGCAGCAGCUAUUUUUAUUUACUCUAUAUGUAGUGUAAUGUAAUGCAACAUGGCCGGUAUUUCGGAUUCCGAAGAAUGUCGGUCGGUGUUGUAUGUAACCA